RNAcentral lists this long non-coding RNA (1036 nucleotides) under Homo sapiens (human). Its description in RNAcentral is "HSALNT0238882". The record is from RNAcentral. Lineage: Eukaryota; Metazoa; Chordata; Mammalia; Primates; Hominidae.
GUGAACCCGGGAGGCGGAGCUUACAGUCAGCGGAGAUCGCGCCACCGCACUCUGGCCUGGGCGAAAGAGCGAGACUGUCUCAGAAAAAAACAAAAAACAAAGCCAAAAAAAAAAAAACUGUAACACUCACUGCAAAAGUCUGCGGCUUCACUCCUGAAGUCAGCAAGACCACGAACCCACAGGGAAGAACAAACGACUCCAGAGGCGCCACCUUUAAGAGCUGUAACAUUAACUGCGAAGGUCUGUGGCUUCCUUCCUGAAGUCAGCGAGACUGCGAACCCACCGGAAGGAAGAAACUCCGGACACAUCUGAACAUCUGAAGGAACAAACUCGAGACACACAAUCUUUAAGAACUUAACACUCACUGCGAGGGUCCGUGGCUUCAUUCUUGAAGUCAGUGAGACCAAGAACUCACUGGAAGGAACCAAUUCUGGACACACUAAGAUAGGGACUUCCAAUGUGUUCAGAGAGCAGGCCUCUAAGGAGGUAUAUUUGAGGGCCGGGCUCAUCUGAAGAGGCAAAAUCAAAGCAGACUUUAUAAUGAGGCAACCAAAAGAGGAGAAUACUAAAAUAAUAAAUUGUCAGAUUAUGACAAUAUAGUGAACUGUUGUACUGUUAGUCUAUUAGCCAGGUCAGAUAACGUAUCUCCAGAUUAUUUGUCUUUGCCAGUGUUCGAGAAAUCCAAGUUACGUAAUUAUCCUUUUAAUCUAGGGGGCUCAAAGUCCACAGGGAAACGUAACAAAAAGGUAAUCAUGUUUAUGGUUCAAUAUGAGCACUUGAAGUAAUUAAGACCCUAGGGCAGCACACAGAAUCUGCUUAGCCAGUAGUUGAUAGACAAAAUAAAUGAUGACAAAGAAUGGUUUAUGUCUGUAUCUCUUAUUGUUUAUUGUUAGGCGUCUGUCUUCUGAACAGCAACGUGAGAUCUGUCAGGGUUCACUAGUCCACCUGCAGAAGUCAGUCUUCGGGGCGUGCCAGCAUUCCAAAUUUAGACGACCAGGACCGUGAUGUUUUUAAGACGGAGUUCUCGCUCUGUCGC